GCGCGGUGGUGGCGUUCCCGGAGGGCACCACCUGGUGCGGCCGGGCCAGCGGACCGCUGCGGCCGGCGCUGUUCCAGGCGGCGCUGCGCGUG
This 92-nucleotide transfer RNA is filed under the name Virgisporangium ochraceum. RNAcentral describes it as "tRNA-Arg". Lineage: Bacteria; Bacillati; Actinomycetota; Actinomycetes; Micromonosporales; Micromonosporaceae. The record is from RNAcentral.